This 440-nucleotide ribosomal RNA is filed under the name uncultured bacterium. Its description in RNAcentral is "partial 16S ribosomal RNA". It matches the Rfam family "Bacterial small subunit ribosomal RNA", at positions 338 to 795 of the family's 1533-position model. The record is from RNAcentral.
CCUACGGGAGGCAGCAGUAGGGAAUAUUGCUCAAUGGGGGAAACCCUGAAGCAGCAACGCCGCGUGGAGGAUGAAGGUUCUCGGAUUGUAAACUCCCUUUGUUAGAGAAGAUAAUGACGGUAUCUAACGAAUAAGCACCGGCUAACUCCGUGCCAGCAGCCGCGGGAAUAAGGAGGGUGCAAGCGUUACUCGGAAUCACUGGGCGUAAAGAGCGCGUAGGCGGGUUAGUAAGUCAGAUGUGAAAUGCUAUGGCUUAACCAUAGAACUGCAUUUGAAACUGUGAGUCUAGAGUAGGGGAGAGGUAGGUGGAAUUCUUGGUGUAGGGGUGAAAUGCGUAGAGAUCAAGAGGAAUACUCAUUGCGAAGGCGGCCUGCUGGAACAUAACUGACGCUGAUGCACGAAAGCGUGGGGAGCGAACAGGAUUAGAUACCCCAGUAGUC